Molecule: transfer RNA, 72 nt
Filed under: Camelus bactrianus (Bactrian camel)
Lineage: Eukaryota; Metazoa; Chordata; Mammalia; Artiodactyla; Camelidae
Also listed under: 2 other names
Rfam family: tRNA
About the family: Transfer RNA (tRNA) molecules are approximately 80 nucleotides in length. Their secondary structure includes four short double-helical elements and three loops (D, anti-codon, and T loops).
Source: Rfam by way of RNAcentral
GAGAGUAUAGCUCAGUGGUAGAGUGUGUGCUUAGCAUGCACGAGGUCCUGGGUUCAAUCUCCAGUACCUCCA